This 1501-nucleotide ribosomal RNA is filed under the name Alcaligenes sp. RH.Sph.067. RNAcentral describes it as "16S ribosomal RNA". It matches the Rfam family "Bacterial small subunit ribosomal RNA". The record is from RNAcentral. Lineage: Bacteria; Pseudomonadati; Pseudomonadota; Betaproteobacteria; Burkholderiales; Alcaligenaceae.
CAGACUUUGAUCCUGGCUCAGAUUGAACGCUNGCGGGAUGCUUUACACAUGCAAGUCGAACGGCAGCGCGAGAGAGCUUGCUCUCUUGGCGGCGAGUGGCGGACGGGUGAGUAAUAUAUCGGAACGUGCCCAGUAGCGGGGGAUAACUACUCGAAAGAGUGGCUAAUACCGCAUACGCCCUACGGGGGAAAGGGGGGGAUCGCAAGACCUCUCACUAUUGGAGCGGCCGAUAUCGGAUUAGCUAGUUGGUGGGGUAAAGGCUCACCAAGGCAACGAUCCGUAGCUGGUUUGAGAGGACGACCAGCCACACUGGGACUGAGACACGGCCCAGACUCCUACNGGAGGCAGCAGUGGGGAAUUUUGGACAAUGGGGGAAACCCUGAUCCAGCCAUCCCGCGUGUAUGAUGAAGGCCUUCGGGUUGUAAAGUACUUUUGGCAGAGAAGAAAAGGUAUCCCCUAAUACGGGAUACUGCUGACGGUAUCUGCAGAAUAAGCACCGGCUAACUACGUGCCAGCAGNCGCNGUAAUACGUAGGGUGCAAGCGGUAAUCGGAAUUUCUGGGCGUAAGCGUGUGUAGGCNGNUCGNAAAAAAGAUGUGAAAUCCCAGGGCUCAACCUUGGAACUGCAUUUUUAACUGCCGAGCUAGAGUAUGUCNGAGGGGGGUAGAAUUCCACGUGUAGCAGUGAAAUGCGUAGAUAUGUGGAGGAAUACCGAUGGCGAAGGCAGCCCCCUGGGAUAAUACUGACGCUCAGACACGAAAGCGUGGGGAGCAAACAGGAUUAGAUACCCUGGUAGUCCACGCCCUAAACGAUGUCAACUAGCUGUUGGGGCCGUUAGGCCUUAGUAGCGCAGCUAACGCGUGAAGUUGACCGCCUGGGGAGUACGGUCGCAAGAUUAAAACUCAAAGGAAUUGACGGGGACCCGCACAAGCGGUGGAUGAUGUGGAUUAAUUCGAUGCAACGCGAAAAACCUUACCUACCCUUGACAUGUCUGGAAAGCCGAAGAGAUUUGGCCGUGCUCGCAAGAGAACCGGAACACAGGUGCUGCAUGGCUGUCGUCAGCUCGUGCCGUGAGAUGUUGGGUUAAGUCCCGCAACGAGCGCAACCCUUGUCAUUAGUUGCUACGCAAGAGCACUCUAAUGAGACUGCCGGUGACAAACCGGANGAAGGUGGGGNAUGACGUCAAGUCCUCAUGGCCCUUAUGGGUAGGGCUUCACACGUCAUACAAUGGUCGGGACAGAGGGUCGCCAACCCGCGAGGGGGAGCCAAUCUCAGAAACCCGAUCGUAGUCCGGAUCGCAGUCUGCAACUCGACUGCGUGAAGUCGGAAUCGCUAGUAAUCGCGGAUCAGAAUGUCGCGGUGAAUACGUUCCCGGGUCUUGUACACACCGCCCGUCACACCAUGGGAGUGGGUUUCACCAGAAGUAGGUAGCCUAACCGUAAGGAGGGCGCUUACCACGGUGGGAUUCAUGACUGGGGUGAAGUCGUAACAAGCUAACCGUA